CUACGGGCUGCACCAGUAGGGAAUUUUGCGCAAUGGGCGAAAGCCUGACGCAGCGACGCCGCGUGGAGGAUGACGGUUCUCGGAUCGUAAACUCCUGUUAGAUGGGAAGAAAUGUCUGUAUUUAAUAGAUGCAGAAGAUGACGGUACCAUCAGAGAAAGUCCCGGCUAACUUCGUGCCAGCAGCCGCGGUAAUACGAGGGGGACAAGCGUUAUUCGGAGUUACUGGGCGUAAAGAGCGUGUAGGCGGCCUCUUAAGUCAGCUGUUAAAUCCCACGGCCUAACCGUGGACCUGCGGUUGAUACUGGGAGGCUAGAGAUUGAGAGAGAGGGGUGGAAUUCUCGGAGUAGCGGUAGAAUGCGUAGAUCUCGAGAGGAACACCGAUGGCGAAGGCAGCCCCUUGGUUCAAUACUGACGCUAAAGCGCGAAAGCGUGGGGAGCAAACAGGAUUAGAUACCCCUGUAGUC
RNAcentral lists this ribosomal RNA (464 nucleotides) under uncultured bacterium. RNAcentral's name for it is "partial 16S ribosomal RNA". It matches the Rfam family "Bacterial small subunit ribosomal RNA", at positions 339 to 795 of the family's 1533-position model. The record is from RNAcentral.